Molecule: long non-coding RNA, 1981 nt
Organism: Mercenaria mercenaria
Lineage: Eukaryota; Metazoa; Mollusca; Bivalvia; Venerida; Veneridae
Exons: 4
Source: RefSeq, a predicted model, not a curated record
AUUGUCAUUUUGUAGUUAUUCAUAGGAGACAAAGCAGGACGAGUCAUGUUUUUCUUGCCGAUAAUGGCAAUAUUUACCAAUUGAUUUAAGCAAGCAAUGAAGCUUUUGUACAACGGGAACUAAACGACUGGUCACUGCAGAUGUGGGAUUGGAAAACCUCUUUAUGAGAAAAUACAUCUCAGAAUGUCUGCAUUUGAAAACUACCAAGGAUGGAGGCGAAUGCCUGAUACAGGAGCUGAAAAAGAGCAAUAUGUACAGGCCAAGAUGCUAAAUUUUUACAAGCAUAUUGAAGUGAUGUGUGUUCCACAGCAGUAAAUUAUGAAAAGAAAAUCAGUGCACAGUGAUGUGAUUUGUACUGGCCAAGGACAAGCAUACAAGCAUACAAGCUCGUACCGAAGUGAUGGGUGACAGACUUUCACUAGCAAAAUUAAAGGGAAAAAAUCAGAUAUUCAUUUCACAAAUACUGAGCAGAUUAUUGAAUUAAAAAAAAAUACAAUGCCAUUUCAGCUUGAUGUUUGAACAUUUUGUUAUACAUUCUAUAAGGCUGUGAAUGUUUGCAAAGCAUUUCAGUAUCAAGUGUCAUUCUACAUUUGAUUUUGUGUGAUGCAGAAAACAUUAAAAUAUGAACAGUAAUUUACAGACGUUCUGUUUCAUAAUUUUUCAUACAGCAGUGACAGAUUUUCCUCAGCAUAUUUCUUGAGAAAUCAGGUUUUUAUCUCACAGUUACUUUGCAGAUAUCUUGAAUUUCAACCAGCAUAAUGUCAUUUCAGCUUCAUAUGUUUGCAUUGAAUUACUUUCAUAAAUACUCUAUUCACUUUUUUUUAGAAAAUUUGAAAUGCCUUUCAGUCUUAUAUUUUUCUAUUACAGGUAGCUACUGCAGAGACCAGAUGCUAAAGACGGUGUUCACAGGGAUGUGUACUUUUUGAUGAAAACAGAGAUAGACCUUUUACCAUUGAAAAUAAUAGACUCUGAUGUAUUUCAUAUUUGGUUGUAUUGUGAAAAAAUGAAAUUUGCCCGUACAAGUGGCUAUGCCCGUAAAAAAGGCACACUAUUGCUUAUUGUGUUUGUUGUAUUUUAAUAUAAAAAGUAAUGACAGUCUCCGGGAUAAAGGUUUAGUGUUGGUUUGUCUGUAUCAUGAGUCUAAUUAUAGCCUGUCUUGUCUGUGCGCAAUUAAUACUUUGCCAGCUUGUAUGCUAAGUAUGAUGUCCUAAUGAAAUGUUAAGAGACACUGGCAUUCUCCUGUGUGAGUGAACAAGUUCACUCAUGCUGGUCAUGCCUCUGUUUAUUAAGUGGUAGACAAGUGUGGUCUAUCACAUUUCGGAGAUACAUAUAAUUAGAUCAAGCAAGGGUCGUUGACAAAUAUAGCAUGAGACGUGAAAACUCGAAACAUCAUUUUACUACAUUUAUACUUUUAAGUACACUUCUGAGAUAUUUCAAAACUUUAACACUUUAAAAAACAAAACUCUGAUUUCUGACUGAUCAUUUUUCCUGAACGUCUCAUUUUAUCUUUGCCAACGAGCCCUUCAUAUAUCCAACCACAUGCUUCUGCAUCGAAACUGCAGUCAAACCUCUAAUACUCUAGUAUGAUGAAAAGGUGUAGCACUUACAAUGCAUCGUCUCAAUGCGAAUAAAGCGAAAUACAAAAUCCUAAAGAUGCGUCUUAUCAACCUUUCAAGUAAGCUGUAAUAUAAAAUCAUUAUAAGACCCGUAUCAAACUACCAGAAUGUCAAAACAUGACCAUAAGGCUAUAUCAAAGAUUUGAAAUGAUUUACGAUGCAAUAGUAUGAUGUUGGAAUUUUAUCCUUCAUACAACCGUAAUGCUACAUGAUGGUUACAAUUUUAUCUUUGUCCUUAUAUGAUGUUGAGCAAUUUUUCCUCACUUGUUUGGAUUUUGAUCGGCAUGGGUUAAGUGUUAAUGCUGGUUAUCAUGACCCGACUCUAUAUUUGGCGAGGCAGCGAAGCCGGUAUAGGGAAUUGCUUA